UCGAGAAUCUUUCACAAUGGGCGCAAGCCUGAUGGAGCGACGCCGCGUGGGGGAUGAAUGGCUUCGGCCCGUAAACCCCUGUCAUUUGCGAUCAAACCUUGCUAUUUAAAAGAUGGCGAGCUGAUAGUAGCGAAAGAGGAAGGGACGGCUAACUCUGUGCCAGCAGCCGCGGUAAUACAGAGGUCCCAAGCGUUGUUCGGAUUCACUGGGCGUAAAGGGUGCGUAGGUGGUGGGGUAAGUCGGAUGUGAAAUCUCGGAGCUCAACUCCGAAAUGGCAUUGGAAACUACCCUGCUAGAGGGUCGGAGGGNGGACUGGAAUUCUCGGUGUAGCAGUGAAAUGCGUAGAUAUCGAGAGGAACACCAGUGGCGAAGGCGAGUCCCUGGACGACUCCUGACACUGAGGCACGAAAGCUAGGGGAGCAAACA
RNAcentral lists this ribosomal RNA (426 nucleotides) under uncultured bacterium. RNAcentral describes it as "bacterial SSU rRNA". It matches the Rfam family "Bacterial small subunit ribosomal RNA", at positions 355 to 774 of the family's 1533-position model. The record is from RNAcentral.